AUUGAACGCUGGCGGCAGGCCUAACACAUGCAAGUCGAACGAGUGGCGGACGGGUGAGUAAUGUCUGGGAAACUGCCCGAUGGAGGGGGAUAACUACUGGAAACGGUAGCUAAUACCGCAUACCAUCGGAUGUGCCCAGAUGGGAUUAGCUAGUAGGUGGGGUAACGGCUCACCUAGGCGACGAUCCCUAGCUGGUCUGAGAGGAUGACCAGCCACACUGGAACGGAGAAACGGGCCAGACUCCUACGGGAGGCAGCAGUGGGGAAUAUUGCACAAUGGGCGCAAGCCGGAUGCAGCCAUGCCGGGUGUAUGAAGAAGGCCUUCGGGUUGUAAAGUACUUUCAGCGGGGAGGCGUUACUCGCAGAAGAAGCACCGGCUAACUCCGUGCCAGCAGCCGCGGUAAUAC
RNAcentral lists this ribosomal RNA (406 nucleotides) under uncultured bacterium. RNAcentral describes it as "partial 16S ribosomal RNA". It matches the Rfam family "Bacterial small subunit ribosomal RNA", at positions 29 to 526 of the family's 1533-position model. The record is from RNAcentral.